ACGCCCCAACAGGAAGGAGUCUCACGUGACCUCUGCUAUAAGGGCCCAGGCGGCGCCGCUUAGCUUGCUUAAAGGGGCCGCGUCGCCGGAGUGUCUUGCGGGAAGAGGUUUUGGACUGCUUGUCCAACAGACACUGAGGAGGAAAGCAUGUUUGACUUCUGCCCUGUUGAUUAAGGAAGGGAUGUGAGUGCUGCUGGAUGCUUCC
RNAcentral lists this long non-coding RNA (205 nucleotides) under Crocodylus porosus (Australian saltwater crocodile). RNAcentral's name for it is "lncRNA (ENSCPRG00005007183.1)". Lineage: Eukaryota; Metazoa; Chordata; Crocodylia; Crocodylidae. The record is from RNAcentral.